GCGAACGGGUGAGUAACACGUGGGCAAUCUGCCCUUCACUCUGGGACAAGCCCUGGAAACGGGGUCUAAUACCGGAUAAUACUCCUGCCUGCAUGGGUGGGGGUUGAAAGCUCCGGCGGUGAAGGAUGAGCCCGCGGCCUAUCAGCUUGUUGGUGGGGUAAUGGCCCACCAAGGCGACGACGGGUAGCCGGCCUGAGAGGGCGACCGGCCACACUGGGACUGAGACACGGCCCAGACUCCUACGGGAGGCAGCAGUGGGGAAUAUUGCACAAUGGGCGAAAGCCUGAUGCAGCGACGCCGCGUGAGGGAUGACGGCCUUCGGGUUGUAAACCUCUUUCAGCAGGGAAGAAGCGAAAGUGACGGUACCUGCAGAAGAAGCGCCGGCUAACUACGUGCCAGCAGCCGCGGUAAUACGUAGGGCGCAAGCGUUGUCCGGAAUUAUUGGGCGUAAAGAGCUCGUAGGCGGCUUGUCACGUCGGAUGUGAAAGCCCGAGGCUUAACCUCGGGUCUGCAUUCGAUACGGGCUAGCUAGAGUGUGGUAGGGGAGAUCGGAAUUCCUGGUGUAGCGGUGAAAUGCGCAGAUAUCAGGAGGAACACCGGUGGCGAAGGCGGAUCUCUGGGCCAUUACUGACGCUGAGGAGCGAAAGCGUGGGGAGCGAACAGGAUUAGAUACCCUGGUAGUCCA
RNAcentral lists this ribosomal RNA (685 nucleotides) under Streptomyces sp. HB_12_1. RNAcentral describes it as "bacterial SSU rRNA". It matches the Rfam family "Bacterial small subunit ribosomal RNA", at positions 98 to 797 of the family's 1533-position model. The record is from RNAcentral. Lineage: Bacteria; Bacillati; Actinomycetota; Actinomycetes; Kitasatosporales; Streptomycetaceae. RNAcentral also lists the same sequence under 2 other names.